CUCGUAGGCGGUUUGGCAAGUCGGAUGUGAAACCUCCAGGCUUAACCUGGAGACGCCAUUCGAUACUGCUAUGACUUGAGUUCGGUAGGGGCGCAUGGAAUACCCGGUGUAGCGGUGAAAUGCUUAGAUAUCGGGUGGAACACCAGUGGCGAAGGCGGUGCGCUGGGCCGAAACUGACGCUGAUGAGCGAAAGCGUGGUAGCAAACA
This 207-nucleotide ribosomal RNA is filed under the name uncultured bacterium. RNAcentral describes it as "partial 16S ribosomal RNA". It matches the Rfam family "Bacterial small subunit ribosomal RNA", at positions 568 to 774 of the family's 1533-position model. The record is from RNAcentral.